Molecule: ribosomal RNA, 733 nt
Filed under: Stenotrophomonas sp.
Lineage: Bacteria; Pseudomonadati; Pseudomonadota; Gammaproteobacteria; Lysobacterales; Lysobacteraceae
Description: bacterial SSU rRNA
Rfam family: Bacterial small subunit ribosomal RNA
Source: RNAcentral
GCUCAGAGUGAACGCUGGCGGUAGGCCUAACACAUGCAAGUCGAACGGCAGCACAGGAGAGCUUGCUCUCUGGGUGGCGAGUGGCGGACGGGUGAGGAAUACAUCGGAAUCUACUCUGUCGUGGGGGAUAACGUAGGGAAACUUACGCUAAUACCGCAUACGACCUACGGGUGAAAGCAGGGGACCUUCGGGCCUUGCGCGAUUGAAUGAGCCGAUGUCGGAUUAGCUAGUUGGCGGGGUAAAGGCCCACCAAGGCGACGAUCCGUAGCUGGUCUGAGAGGAUGAUCAGCCACACUGGAACUGAGACACGGUCCAGACUCCUACGGGAGGCAGCAGUGGGGAAUAUUGGACAAUGGGCGCAAGCCUGAUCCAGCCAUACCGCGUGGGUGAAGAAGGCCUUCGGGUUGUAAAGCCCUUUUGUUGGGAAAGAAAUCCAGCUGGCUAAUACCCGGUUGGGAUGACGGUACCCAAAGAAUAAGCACCGGCUAACUUCGUGCCAGCAGCCGCGGUAAUACGAAGGGUGCAAGCGUUACUCGGAAUUACUGGGCGUAAAGCGUGCGUAGGUGGUCGUUUAAGUCCGUUGUGAAAGCCCUGGGCUCAACCUGGGAACUGCAGUGGAUACUGGGCGACUAGAAUGUGGUAGAGGGUAGCGGAAUUCCUGGUGUAGCAGUGAAAUGCGUAGAGAUCAGGAGGAACAUCCAUGGCGAAGGCAGCUACCUGGACCAACAUGACA